This 484-nucleotide ribosomal RNA is filed under the name Candidatus Coprenecus merdipullorum. RNAcentral's name for it is "partial 23S ribosomal RNA". It matches the Rfam family "Bacterial large subunit ribosomal RNA", at positions 1 to 503 of the family's 2925-position model. The record is from RNAcentral. Lineage: Bacteria; Pseudomonadati; Bacteroidota; Bacteroidia; Bacteroidales; Rikenellaceae.
GAGAGAAGUUACAAGGGCGAACGGAGGAUGCCUAGGCUUCCGGCGGCUACGAAGGACGCAGUAAGCUGCGAAAAUGUGCGGGGAUCCGCCAACAGGACUUGAUCCGCACGUAUCCGAAUGGGGAAACCCGGACGAGUGAAGCUCGUCCACGCCAGAGCGAACCCAGGGAACUGAAACAUCUUAGUACCUGGAGGAAAAGAAAGAAAGAUCGAUUUCCCGAGUAGUGGCGAGCGAAAGGGAAACAGCCCAAACCGGAGUUGUUACGGCAAUUCCGGGGUUGUAGGAGUCGUACCGCGUUCUUCUGAUCAAAAGCGGAAGCUUCUGGAAAGGAGUCCGGCACAGGGUGACAGGCCCGUACGCGUAGGAGAUCGGAAGAGCAAACGACCACCUGAGUAGGGCGGGGCACGAGGAACCCUGUCUGAAUCCGCGGGGCCCAUCCCGCAAGGCUAAAUACGACCGGAAGACCGAUAGUGAACCAGUACCG